AAAUUGAACAACUUCUGCGAAAUGAGAUAACCAAUCACAUGACAAACAAUCCCCAUGACUAUAAGAGUUACCUCCUAUUCCUAGCGCUACAGGGGCAAUCAUUGUCAGUACACUUGAUCCUGACGUUUUAUCUUAUUCUUAACAAAAAACAAAAUAUCUGUCACAAUGUCCGGUCACGGAAGUCAACAGUACCAAGCUAACAACGACAACAAGUCCAACCAAUGCAAUCCAAACAAUCCAAAUUACCAGGGUCAUCAGCCUGGAUACCAGGGAACUGGAACCACGUCUGACCUAAAUAACCACAGCAACCAACUCAAUCCAAGCAACACACGCUAUCAAGCACCGAAAAAAUAAAUAAGGGACCCCAAGCCAGUGGGGACACUAAGCUAUAAGUUACGUUGACUAUGGGUAACUCCAGCACUGGAAAGAUGGUUGAAUGGAUGGGGAAACAUUAUGCAGACCAUUGUUCUGUCUUUAUGGACUAACAAGUAUAUUUUUUCUUUCUUUUUUUUUCAGAAAACUUUUCUUCAACGAAUAAAAAAAACUUGACAACAACAA
Molecule: long non-coding RNA, 558 nt
Organism: Biomphalaria glabrata
Lineage: Eukaryota; Metazoa; Mollusca; Gastropoda; Planorbidae
Exons: 4
Source: RefSeq, a predicted model, not a curated record